RNAcentral lists this non-coding RNA (28 nucleotides) under Arsukibacterium sp. MJ3. The record is from RNAcentral. Lineage: Bacteria; Pseudomonadati; Pseudomonadota; Gammaproteobacteria; Chromatiales; Chromatiaceae.
UUCCACCGCCGCACAGGCGGCUUAGAAA